AUUUUAUUUUAAACCUUACAUGUAAUUUAGAGAUGAUAAAAAAACAUGUCUACAAUGGAUUAUUUUUUAGCCUUAUCUUUAACAAGUAGAUAUUUCUAAAAACAUGGCGAGACAUAUUGUGUUAAGAGGUUAUCUCUUAAUUAAGAGAACACGAGUUUUUAUUAUGAUUUCUCUUUUUUCCACAUCAGCGUUUAUACUACAUGGCACUUCUAAAAUAGCAUCAUUCUACAUGUCAUUCUAAGACGAAAGGUGUAGUAGCUUGUAUGUUGGCUAGAUUGACAUGUUGUGUCAACAAGUGAAUAUUUGAGGGGUUCUAGACAGGGUCUGGCCCAUAUGGUGUGCUGAGUAUGCAGCCCUUGAAGACCCAAAUUUUCAUAGGCCUAGUAUGUGUAUAUUUUAUUUUAAAAUGCAGUUCCGCUGAACAGCUAGGCGAUGGCGUCCAUGACGCAUCGAGCUGCCAAGGCCGCUGCUCCCGAGUCUUGAUCCCUGCCCGUUGUCUAGCGAUCAUCACACCUAAUGCCACGCGCACAUGAUUCACAUUAACAGCAACAUCCGUCGCUCGACUCGGCGCAAUGUAGUAGAGAGAAAAAACGAAUUGUUGGGAGUCUUCGGAGGGAUGUCGAUUUAAGUGGGAGUUCAUACUUAAUAUGAUUAAAUAAACUUAAUUGUCAUGAACUUAGUCUAAAAAGGUUUGUCUGUAUAAAUAUUGUAGAUGGCCAACGUCAACCUCAAUUUGAACGCAUUUCUAGAGAAAAACAAGCUGAAAGAUGAUG
This 773-nucleotide long non-coding RNA is filed under the name Hordeum vulgare. RNAcentral's name for it is "long non-coding RNA (HVUL_LNC000693)". Lineage: Eukaryota; Viridiplantae; Streptophyta; Magnoliopsida; Poales; Poaceae. The record is from RNAcentral.